RNAcentral lists this ribosomal RNA (460 nucleotides) under uncultured bacterium. Its description in RNAcentral is "partial 16S ribosomal RNA". It matches the Rfam family "Bacterial small subunit ribosomal RNA", at positions 338 to 795 of the family's 1533-position model. The record is from RNAcentral.
CCUACGGGCGGCAGCAGUGAGGAAUAUUGGUCAAUGGGCGCGAGCCUGAACCAGCCAAGCAGCGUGAAGGAUGACUGCCCUACGGGUUGUAAACUUCUUUUAUAAAGGAAUAAAGUCAGGCACGUGUGCCUUUUUGUAUGUACUUUACGAAUAAGGAUCGGCUAACUCCGUGCCAGCAGCCGCGGUAAUACGGAGGAUCCGAGCGUUAUCCGGAUUUAUUUGGGUUAAAGGGAGCGUAGAUGGGUUGUUAAGUCAGUUGUGAAAGUUUGCGGCUCAACCGUGAAAUUGCAAUUGAUACUGGCAGACUAGAGUACAGUUGAGGUAGGCGGAAUGCGUGGUGUAGCGGUGAAAUGCUUAGAGAUCACGAAGAACACCGAUUGCGAAGGCAGCUUACUAAGCUGCCACUGACAUUGAUGCACGAAAGUGUGGGUAGCAAACAGGAUUAGAUACCCUGGUAGUC